AUUGAACGCUGGCGGCAGGCCUAACACAUGCAAGUCGAGCGAGCGGCGGACGGGUGAGUAAUGUAUGGGGACUGCCCGAUAGAGGGGGAUAACUACUGGAAACGGUGGGUAAUACCGCAUACUAUCGGAUAACCUAUAUGGGAUUAGCUAGUAGGUGGGGUAAAGGCUCACCUAGGCGACGAUCUCUAGCUGGUCUGAGAGGAUGAUCCUCCACACUGAGACUGAGACUCACCACCGAGUCCUGCGAAGGCACCAGUGGGGCAUAUUGCACAAGGGACGCAAGGCUGAUAUAGCCAGGCGGCGUGUAUGAAGAAGGCCUUAGGGGUGUAAAGUACUUUCAACGGGGAGGCUUUACCCACAGAAGAAGCACCGACUAACUCCGUGCCAGCAGCCGCGGUAAUAC
This 403-nucleotide ribosomal RNA is filed under the name uncultured bacterium. Its description in RNAcentral is "partial 16S ribosomal RNA". It matches the Rfam family "Bacterial small subunit ribosomal RNA", at positions 30 to 526 of the family's 1533-position model. The record is from RNAcentral.